Molecule: ribosomal RNA, 671 nt
Filed under: uncultured Smithella sp.
Lineage: Bacteria; Pseudomonadati; Thermodesulfobacteriota; Syntrophia; Syntrophales; Smithellaceae
Description: bacterial SSU rRNA
Rfam family: Bacterial small subunit ribosomal RNA
Source: RNAcentral
AGUUUGAUCAUGGCUCAGAACUAACGCUGGCGGCGUGCCUAACACAUGCAAGUCGAACGAGAAAGUUGGCUUCGGCCAAUGAGUAAAGUGGCGCACGGGUGAGUAACACGUGGAUAACCUUCCCUUCAGUCAGGAAUAACCUACCGAAAGGUAAGCUAAUACCUGAUCCUACGGAUCCACUGCGGUGGGUUCGUCAAAGAUGGCCUCUGCUUGCAAGCUAUCGCUGUUGGAUGGGUCCGCGUACCAUUAGCUAGUUGGCAGGGUAAUGGCCUACCAAGGCUCUGAUGGUUAGCUGGUCUGAGAGGAUGACCAGCCACACUGGAACUGAGACACGGUCCAGACUCCUACGGGAGGCAGCAGUGAGGAAUAUUGCGCAAUGGGGGAAACCCUGACGCAGCGACGCCGCGUGAGUGAGGAAGGCCUUCGGGUCGUAAAGCUCUGUCAGAUGGGAAGAAAUGGCUGGAUGCCAAUACCAUUCAGCCUUGACGGUACCAUCAGAGGAAGCACCGGCCAACUCCGUGCCAGCAGCCGCGGUAAUACGGAGGGUGCAAGCGUUGUUCGGAAUUAUUGGGCGUAAAGCGCGUGUAGGCGGUAGGGUAAGUCAGAUGUGAAAGCCCUGGGCUCAACCCAGGAAGUGCAUUUGAAACUGCUCUGCUAGAGUGGGGGAGAGG